UGAAGGCAAUUAAACACUAAAUAUUACUUACAAGCUAAAUGAUAUAUGAAUAUAUUACUCACAAAUACAAAUUAAAUAGUUUUCUUUUCAGAUAGUAGCCAAGUAAAGGCUUCUAAAAAUAGCCUACUACAGAUAUUUUUAUGAAGUAAUUAAUGUAAAAAUAAUCUUCACUCUAUACAUUAAAUAUAGAUGAUUCUUAUUUAAGUUAAUAAGUGAUUCAGUCAAGAGCAGUUUUCCUUUCUUUUGUUUUUGGGGGCAAUGACAACAAUACUCCACUACAACAGCAGCUCCCUCUCGACCGACGAAAACCUAGAGCUGCAAAAGUGAAAACGCAGAAUAAGACCCCUUUUAAAUACACUGAGGUGUUAAAGUAAUGUGAUGAUCAUGUUUACACUUUACUCACAACGCAAUCCUCAAGUAUGGCAGUCUUUUUUGUUCUGUUGGUUUUUUCAACUUCUGCUCUAUUGAAGCGCUUGGAGCAAUUGUUAUGAUGUUCCCGUAGUUUGACCAAUCUUGACUGAAACCUCUCCUGCUGACAUAUAAGGACAUAUUUAAAUUACAACAAGUAUGAGAUCUAACAAAAACACUACAGAAGUGAACAAAAAGUAAACAUAAAAAUAUAUAAAAAUCAUUAAAAGCACUUCCAGAAUAUAAGAGAAAUUAAUGCUUAAUCGAAUUGUUCAAAAUAAUUUCUUAAACCAAAUGUUUUAAAACUUGUCGAAUAACAUUUGGUUGACUAAGGACAAUAUCUAAAUGAUUUUCAAAGAGAGGUAAUUAUAGAGAGCAUACAAAGUAUACAACAAUACCUGUCUUUUUCUUGAUGAACGCUGCCUCACAGGUGAGGAUGAGGAUGAUGUAGCAGUCACAGGGGCAGGUGAUGAACUUUUCCUCACAGGUGAGGAUGAGGAUGAUGUAGCAGUAACAGGAGCAGGUGAUGAACGUUUCCUCACAGGUGAGGAUGAGGAUGAUGUAGCAGUCACAGGGGCAGGUGAUGAACUUUUCCUCACAGGUGAGGAUGAGGAUGAUGUAGCAGUCACAGGGGCAGGUGAUGAACUUUUCCUCACAGGUGAGGAUGAAGAUGAUGUAGCAGUCACACGAGCAGGUGAUGAACUUUUCCUCACAGGUGAGGAUGAGGAUGAGGAUGAUGUAGCAGUAACAGGGGCAGAUGAUGAACGCUGCCUCACAGGUGAGGAUGAGGAUGAUGUAGCAGUCACAGGGGUAGGUGAUGAACGUUUCCUCACAGGUGAGGAUGAGGAUGAUGUAGCAGUCACAGGGGCAGAUGAUGAACUUUUCCUCACAGGUGAGGAUGAGGAUGAUGUAGCAGUCACAGGGGCAGGUGAUGAACGUUUCCUCACAGGUGAGGAUGAGGAUGAUGUAGCAGUCACAGGGGCAGGUGAUGAACUUUUCCUCACAGGUGAGGAUGAGGAUGAUGUAGCAGUCACAGGGGCAGGUGAUGAACGUUUCCUCACAGUUGAGGAUGAGGAUGAUGUAGCAGUCACAGGGGCAGGUGAUGAACUUUUCCUCACAGAUGAGGAUGAGGAUGAUGUAGCAGUAACAGGGGCAGGUGAUGAACUUUUCCUCACAGGUGAGGAUGAGGAUGAGGAUGAUGUAGCAGUCACAGGAGCAGGUGAUGAACGCUUGGCUUGCCAAUCCCAGUCUCCAUAGCUGUAAGUAAUCUCUUCUCCUGGUUUAAUGUCUCGGACAGCAAAAAGACAAAGAUGUGGUUGCUGCAGAUAUCAAGGUUAUAUUUUCACACAAUGUUCUUUACAUUAUGUAAGAUGAUUUUAUGUAUUAAAAAAAAAAGAAAAAAAAAAGUAUAUCAGAAAGAAAUGACUUUAGCUGAAUUUGUACAUGCGUGUUCACAUUUCAUACAUAAAUAUAUUUGGAUUCUGUGCAUCUAUGGUUUAAAUAUACAAUACAUAUAAAAUAUGUCCCCAAUUUUCCCACUAGGGAAUAUCUGCGAUAAUAAUAAGUGAUCCAACCAUUAAACAACGAAAAAUUAAUUAUUUUAAUUACAGUCUAUUACAGCUAAUUAACAGAAUAUUAGAAUACUUUACAACACCAUAUUUUGUAGAUAAUCAUAAUUUAUACUUAAUCGUUUAUUGACAGGAUUAUAUUACACAACACGUGACCCGUGAGAAACCAUUAACUCAACUUGACUCAAGUCCUAUUAAUAUGUCAUCUGACCAAUUAUAUCUACUAUCACAAAUGAUAUCCAUAAAGAAACAAAUAUCUGUACAACAAAUCAUCAAAUGGCAUGAAAGAUGCCAUUUAUUUGGACAAGGAAACAAAUUCCUUAACAUAAUAUAUACUUAUCAACGAAAUUAAAAUCCUACUAAAAUUUACCUUUAAUAUUUUCAAUUUCGUUGUCAUAAAUUAUAGAUCAGAAGCUGUAUUUACAGUAACGUUAUAUGAUCACAACUCACCUCUGCUCUUUAAUCGCAGCGUAGGUCUUUCGCGGGAAAUUGAGGAUAAAUGAGGUGAUGUCAUCGGCACGUGUCAUCCGCCGACAUGUGUAUGUAAAUGACGUUGUGGCGUUUUUGGAUUGCACAUUGAAGUUGUGCGUCCGUCUAUUUGUAUUUAAAAUAAACAGCAGUAAAGCACUUACACCUCAUAAACACCUUUUCCUAUCAAUUAAUUACUUAACAAAGCUGUAAAGAGACGCCUAAAAUAUAAAGCAAAAAAAAGAAUAAUAAUAAUUAUAAAAGCGAAUACAUCUUGUGUUGUGUUCUUCCAGCUGUAUUGCGCAGACCGAACGUCACGUGACAGACAAUUAUCGCGAGUGUUCCGA
Cyprinus carpio carpio is the source of this 2791-nucleotide long non-coding RNA. The record is from Ensembl. Lineage: Eukaryota; Metazoa; Chordata; Actinopteri; Cypriniformes; Cyprinidae.